GAGGGGGGUAGAAUUCCACGUGUAGCAGUGAAAUGCGUAGAGAUGUGGAGGAAUACCGAUGGCGAAGGCAGCCCCCUGGGUUAGUACUGACGCUCAUGCACGAAAGCGUGGGAAGCAAACAGGAUUAGAUACCCUGGUAGUCCACGCCCUAAACGAUGUCAACUAGGUGUUGGAAGGGUUAAACCUUUUAGUACCGCAGCUAACGCGUGAAGUUGACCGCCUGGGGAGUACGGCCGCAAGGUUAAAACUCAAAGGAAUUGACGGGGACCCGCACAAGCGGUGGAUGAUGUGGAUUAAUUCGAUGCAACGCGAAAAACCUUACCUACCCUUGACAUGCCAGGAACUUUCCAGAGAUGGAUUGGUGCCCGAAAGGGAGCCUGGACACAGGUGCUGCAUGGCUGUCGUCAGCUCGUGUCGUGAGAUGUUGGGUUAAGUCCCGCAACGAGCGCAACCCUUGUCAUUAAUUGCCAUCAUUCAGUUGGGCACUUUAAUGAGACUGCCGGUGACAAACCGGAGGAAGGUGGGGAUGACGUCAAGUCCUCAUGGCCCUUAUGGGUAGGGCUUCACACGUCAUACAAUGGUCGGUACAGGGGGUUGCCAAGCCGCGAGGUGGAGCCAAUCCCAGAAAGCCGAUCGUAGUCCGGAUCGCAGUCUGCAACUCGACUGCGUGAAGUCGGAAUCGCUAGUAAUCGCGGAUCAGCAUGUCGCGGUGAAUACGUUCCCGGGUCUUGUACACACCGCCCGUC
This 746-nucleotide ribosomal RNA is filed under the name uncultured Azospira sp. RNAcentral's name for it is "bacterial SSU rRNA". It matches the Rfam family "Bacterial small subunit ribosomal RNA", at positions 654 to 1398 of the family's 1533-position model. The record is from RNAcentral. Lineage: Bacteria; Pseudomonadati; Pseudomonadota; Betaproteobacteria; Rhodocyclales; Rhodocyclaceae.